AGCAUACUCAUUUUGACGUUUAGCUUGCAGAAGAAGCACCGGCUAACUCCGUGCCAGCAGCCGCGGUAAUACGGAGGGUGCGAGCGUUAAUCGGAAUUACUGGGCGUAAAGCGCAUGCAGGUGGUUUGUUAAGUCAGAUGUGAAAGCCCGGGGCUCAACCUCGGAAUUGCAUUUGAAACUGGCAAACUAGAGUACUGUAGAGGGGGUAGAAUUUCAGGUGUAGCGGUGAAAUGCGUAGAGAUCUGAAGGAAUACCGGUGGCGAAGGCGGCCCCCUGGACAGAUACUGACACUCAGAUGCGAAAGCGUGGGGAGCAAACAGGAUUAGAUACCCUGGUAG
RNAcentral lists this ribosomal RNA (338 nucleotides) under uncultured bacterium. RNAcentral's name for it is "bacterial SSU rRNA". It matches the Rfam family "Bacterial small subunit ribosomal RNA", at positions 457 to 793 of the family's 1533-position model. The record is from RNAcentral.